UCACUUCGGCAGCGCAUGUGCUGAAGUUGCAGCGAUACAGAGAAGAUUAGCAUGGCCCCUGCGCAGGGAUGACGCACAAAUUCGUGAAGCGUUCCAUAGCUAU
This 103-nucleotide small nuclear RNA is filed under the name Catagonus wagneri (Chacoan peccary). Lineage: Eukaryota; Metazoa; Chordata; Mammalia; Artiodactyla; Tayassuidae. The record is from RNAcentral.